GGUCGACCUCAGAUCAGGUAGGAAUACCCGCUGAACUUAAGCAUAUCAAUAAGCGGAGGAAAAGAAACCAACAGGGAUUGCCUCAGUAACGGCGAGUGAAGCGGCAACAGCUCAAAUUUGAAAUCUGGCCUCUGGCCCGAGUUGUAAUUUGCAGAGGAUGUUUCUGGCGAGGUGCCUUCCGAGUUCCCUGGAACGGGACGCCAUAGAGGGUGAGAGCCCCGUACGGUUGGUCGCUAAGCCUCUGUGAAACUCCUUCGACGAGUCGAGUAGUUUGGGAAUGCUGCUCUAAAUGGGAGGUGUACGCCUUCUUAAGCUAAAUACCGGCUAGAGACCGAUAGCGCACAAGUAGAGUGAUCGAAAGAUGAAAAGCACUUUGAAAAGAGGGUUAAAAAGUACGUGAAAUUGUUGAAAGGGAAGCGCUCUUGACCAGACUUGCGCCGGUUGAUCAUCCGCCGUUCUCGGUGGUGCACUCUGCCGGCUCAGGCCAGCAUCAGUUCGGCCCGGGGGAUAAAGGCUUCGGGAAUGUGGCUCUCUCCGGGGAGUGUUAUAGCCCGUUGCGUAAUACCUGGGCUGGACUGAGGUUCGCGCAUCUGCAUGGAUGCUGGCGUAAUGGUUAUCAGUGACCCGUCUUGAAACACGGACCAAGGAGUCGUCUUCGUAUGCGAGUGUUCGGGUGUCAAACCCCUACGCGUAAUGAAAGUGAACGUAGGAGAGAGCUUCGGCGCAUCUCCGACCGAUCCUGAUGUUCUCGGAUGGAUUUGAGUAAGAGCAUACGGGGCCGGACCCGAAAGAAGGUGAACUAUGCCUGUAUAGGGUGAAGCCAGAGGAAACUCUGGUGGAGGCUCGCAGCGGUUCUGACGUGCAAAUCGAUCGUCAAAUAUGGGCAUGGGGGCGAAAGACUAAUCGAACCUUCUAGUAGCUGUUU
This 925-nucleotide ribosomal RNA is filed under the name Gliomastix murorum var. felina. RNAcentral's name for it is "eukaryotic LSU rRNA". It matches the Rfam family "Eukaryotic large subunit ribosomal RNA", at positions 1 to 956 of the family's 3401-position model. Lineage: Eukaryota; Fungi; Ascomycota; Sordariomycetes; Hypocreales; Bionectriaceae. The record is from RNAcentral.